This 652-nucleotide ribosomal RNA is filed under the name Gecarcinucus jacquemontii. Its description in RNAcentral is "SSU rRNA". It matches the Rfam family "Eukaryotic small subunit ribosomal RNA", at positions 685 to 1332 of the family's 1831-position model. The record is from RNAcentral. Lineage: Eukaryota; Metazoa; Arthropoda; Malacostraca; Decapoda; Gecarcinucidae.
GCCACAACAGNCCCGCUGGCUCGCACGGGGUGCUCUUCAUCGAGUGUCCCGCGUUGGCCGGCAGAGUUUACUUUGAAAAAAUUAGAGUGCUCAAAGCAGGCUACACUGACGGCCUGAAUGCCUAUGCAUGGAAUAAUGGAAUAGGACCUCGGUUCUAUUUUGUCGGUUUUCUGAACCCGAGGUAAUGACUAAUAGGAACAGGCGGGGGCAUUCGUAUUGCGACGCUAGAGGUGAAAUUCUUGGACCGUCGCAAGACGAACUACUGCGAAAGCAUUUGCCAAGGAUGUUUUCAUUAAUCAAGAACGAAAGUUAGAGGUUCGAAGGCGAUCAGAUACCGCCCUAGUUCUAACCAUAAACGAUGCUGACCAGCGAUCCGCCGGCGUUAUUCCCAUGACCCGGCGGGCAGCUUCCGGGAAACCAAAGUCUUUGGGUUCCGGGGGAAGUAUGGUUGCAAAGCUGAAACUUAAAGGAAUUGACGGAAGGGCACCACCAGGAGUGGAGCCUGCGGCUUAAUUUGACUCAACACGGGGAACCUCACCAGGCCCAGACACCGGAAGGAUUGACAGAUUGAGAGCUCUUUCUCGAUUCNGUGGGUGGUGGUGCAUGGCCGUUCUUANUUGGUGGAGCGAUUUGUCUGGUUAAUUCCNAUAAC